ACCGGUUCUAUUUUCCUACAUGGUAUCAUGAGUAGUUUAUGUUUAGAUCCUAUACCACAAAUUCUAAAGGUUUUGCUUCUACGCGCGUGCUCCUUGGGAGAUAACCCACCAAGGUAGCACACCACAUACCUAGGGCUCAUGUCACCAAUCUCGUUGCUCGGUCUGUAGAGAAUUCUUUUCCGAUCGCUGAUGGGAAUUUCUCUCACCGAUUGGUUGAUUUAUGUUUAUUUUUUUCUGAUCUAUUUUUUUUCUGAUCUAAAAUCAAAUUGUGUCACCCACUUCCCAUUAUAUUUGUUUGCCUCUACUUCGAAGUUGGCAUCGACAACACUAGUUUGGUCCCUUCUAUUAUCUCGUGUGGCAUGGCCAAGUUCGUGGACGUCCAGGGAAUUCCCUCGACUGUUGUUGCCUCUUCAUUUCAUCCACACGUCUUCAUCAUAUGUUCAUCUUUUGCGUCAUAUAUCAAGAUGUCUUCACCAUGACCUUCUGGUCGUCAUCUCUGAUCUCGCAUGAAACCGGUCUGACCAAUGGGCGUCCACCAUGGCCUUGCAGUCAUCAUCUUUGAUCUUGUGUGCAACCGGUCAGAUUCUAUUCGCAUACAAGAACAAAGAUGUGCAGGCUAUAUAUUGGUAUCUCAUGGUUUCUGCAUGUACAUCCUUGUAAUUACAAUGCUUCAAACUUCAGAUUAUUCUUGUACGGAGGAUCAAUUAGCAAUGGACAACACAUGGAUUCUACCUAGGAACUGCAGUACAAGAAUCAAGAUGACAACAUGC
RNAcentral lists this long non-coding RNA (770 nucleotides) under Sorghum bicolor (sorghum). Its description in RNAcentral is "long non-coding RNA (SBIC_LNC000592)". Lineage: Eukaryota; Viridiplantae; Streptophyta; Magnoliopsida; Poales; Poaceae. The record is from RNAcentral.